CUUAAUGGCAAUUCUACUGACGACUUUACUCGCCAGCGUCAAAUUACUGGCAAAAGGCAGAGGCAAGAUGAUAAGUGGGAACACGAUCUCUAUGACGAGGAUGAACCACAUGUUUCAAAUCUCAAAGUCAGUUCUCAAGAUCUUCGACUGAAGCUUCAAAAGAAGAAUCUCCCACAAGCGUCACAAACCGGAAGGGGUUCAGUUUCAGGUAUGUGGGAUUUACGUGAAAAGCUCUCUGGGACUAUGAAUUCACAACCAGCAAAUGCUGAUCCACCCAAACGAAAAUUGGAGACUGCUAAACCAGCUAUAAGAAGUGUUGCAGUUGACGCACCUGAGCCAGAGAUUAAAAAGGUUUCUAGUGUGGCUCCUAGAAAAAAGUCUCAGCAAAAGGCUGAUACUUCAAUAGAAGGUUUUCUGCAAUC
RNAcentral lists this unclassified non-coding RNA (422 nucleotides) under Hevea brasiliensis (rubber tree). The record is from RNAcentral. Lineage: Eukaryota; Viridiplantae; Streptophyta; Magnoliopsida; Malpighiales; Euphorbiaceae.